GACGAAGGAUGCAAGCGUUAUCCGGAUUCAUUGGGUUUAAAGGGUGCGAAGGCGGACUUGUAAGUCAGUGGUGAAAUCUCUUCGCUUAACGAAGAAACUGCCAUUGAUACUGCAGGUCUAGAGUAUAGAUGACGUUGGCGGAAUAUGACAUGUAGUGGUGAAAUACUUAGAUAUGUCAUAGAACACCGAUUGCGAAGGCAGCUAACGAAACUAUAACUGACGCUGAGGCACGAAAGUGCGGGGAUCAAACAGG
RNAcentral lists this ribosomal RNA (253 nucleotides) under uncultured bacterium. Its description in RNAcentral is "partial 16S ribosomal RNA". It matches the Rfam family "Bacterial small subunit ribosomal RNA", at positions 524 to 776 of the family's 1533-position model. The record is from RNAcentral.